ACAACACACAGCACAGUUUUCAUGUUUGUUAUGUGUUUUCUCUUCCUUAUAGAUCUGUUAGAGCCACGUCAAGGACUGCUGUGUCCAGGAGUGGAGAAAGGCUUAUGUGAGACAAGAGACUCUACUGUCAGAAGAAAGCAAGUGAUUUCAUCCUAGGUAACAGCUGACUCCUAUCUUCAGUUUUGUGUUCCUCGAAGAAUUCACUAGGAAAAUUCACGUGGAGCAACUCCAGCUAAAGAAGCAUGAAGACUAGUCUACUGGGGAAAGAAGAAAUGGGUUUCCAUGGACCUAUCAAUGAUACUCAUCACAGCUUUGUCUUUGCCGAGAAUCUACUCACCUACUUCAGCUUCUGCAUUAAAUUCCACUGAUCCCUGCUUGAGACAGCAAUGCCCAAGAUUGAUCUUAAAGGCUAAUGGAUUCUGCAAUUUGGUGUGCAUCAGCUUUUGGAGUGAGCCUCUCAAAUCUCUACAGACCAAUGGAGACCAAGCAAGAUGCUCUCUAGCUGAACUAAGAAGAAAGGCAGCAAGUUUGGCCCAAAAGGUAGGAGAAGAUCUCAAUGCUCAGUGUGGGUCUGGUCACAGAGGAAAGUUACCACAAUGACACAAGACUAGAAGUCAUUCUGUCAUAACGAGUGAGUGAUAAGCAAUUAGUGUCUACCUGCUUUGAUAUGUAAAACACCGUUGCCAUCAAAGUCCAGGGGAAAAAGAAUCAUGGUUUUAUAAAUACAGCUUUAAACACCAUAUUUACAGAUGUAUUUGAAACUUCUGACUGCUUUGAGUAAGUGGUCUCCUUGAAAAUG
Molecule: long non-coding RNA, 799 nt
Filed under: Mus spicilegus (steppe mouse)
Lineage: Eukaryota; Metazoa; Chordata; Mammalia; Rodentia; Muridae
Description: lncRNA (ENSMSIG00000013193.1)
Source: RNAcentral